Molecule: ribosomal RNA, 200 nt
Filed under: uncultured bacterium
Lineage: Bacteria
Description: partial 16S ribosomal RNA
Rfam family: Bacterial small subunit ribosomal RNA
Source: RNAcentral
AGUGAACGCUGGCGGCAGGCCUAACACAUGCAAGUCGAACGGCAGCACAGGAGAGCUCGCUCUCUGGGUGGCGAGUGGCGGACGGGUGAGGAAUGCGUCGGAAUCUGCCUAUUUGUGGGGGAUAACGUAGGGAAACUUACGCUAAUACCGCAUACGACCUACGGGUGAAAGUGGGGGACCGCAAGGCCUCACGCAGAUAG